GAAAUGCGAUAAGUAAUGUGAAUUGCAGAAUUCAGUGAAUCAUCGAAUCUUUGAACGCACCUUGCGCUCCUUGGUAUUCCUUGGAGCAUGCCUGUUUGAGUAUCAUGAAAUCUUCAAAGUAAAUCUUUUGUUAACUCAAUUGGUUUCUACUUUGGUAUUGGAGGUCUUUGCAGCUUCACACCUGCUCCUCUUUGUUCAUUAGCUGGAUCUCAGUGUUAUGCUUGGUUCCACUCGGCGUGAUAAGUUAUCUAUCGCUGAGGACACUGUAAAAGGUGGCCAAGGUAAAUGCAGAUGAACCGCUUCUAAUAGUCCAUUGACUUGGACAAUACUUUUAUGAUCUGAUCUCAAAUCAAGUAGGACUACCCGCUGAACUUAAGC
Molecule: unclassified non-coding RNA, 378 nt
Filed under: plant metagenome
Description: partial contains 5.8S ribosomal RNA, internal transcribed spacer 2, and large subunit ribosomal RNA
Rfam family: 5.8S ribosomal RNA (bases 1-105)
Source: RNAcentral